RNAcentral lists this non-coding RNA (27 nucleotides) under Homo sapiens (human). The record is from RNAcentral. Lineage: Eukaryota; Metazoa; Chordata; Mammalia; Primates; Hominidae.
UGACAGAUGCAAGGAAUCUCACCAAUC